GACGAAGGUGGCAAGCGUUGCUCGGAAUCACUGGGCAUAAAGCGCGCGUAGGUGGCUUGAUAAGUCGGUGGUGAAAUCCCAUGGCUCAACCAUGGAACUGCCGUCGAUACUGUCAGGCUUGAGGGCGGUAGGGGAGAGUGGAACUCCUGGUGUAGCGGUGAAAUGCGUAGAUAUCAGGAGGAACGCCGGUGGCGAAAGCGACUCUCUGGGCCGUUCCUGACACUAAAGCGCGAAAGCUAGGGGAGCAAACAGG
RNAcentral lists this ribosomal RNA (253 nucleotides) under uncultured bacterium. RNAcentral's name for it is "partial 16S ribosomal RNA". It matches the Rfam family "Bacterial small subunit ribosomal RNA", at positions 524 to 776 of the family's 1533-position model. The record is from RNAcentral.